UCGGGAGUGCUCCAGUGGCAACGAGGGCGGACUGUAAAUUCGCUGUCUGAUGACUUCGUAGGUUCGAGUCCUACCUCCCGAA
RNAcentral lists this transfer RNA (82 nucleotides) under Segatella copri. Its description in RNAcentral is "tRNA-Tyr". It matches the Rfam family "tRNA". Rfam says of the family: Transfer RNA (tRNA) molecules are approximately 80 nucleotides in length. Their secondary structure includes four short double-helical elements and three loops (D, anti-codon, and T loops). RNAcentral also lists the same sequence under 1 other name. The record is from RNAcentral. Lineage: Bacteria; Pseudomonadati; Bacteroidota; Bacteroidia; Bacteroidales; Prevotellaceae.